Oncorhynchus tshawytscha (Chinook salmon) is the source of this 3848-nucleotide long non-coding RNA. Lineage: Eukaryota; Metazoa; Chordata; Actinopteri; Salmoniformes; Salmonidae. The record is from Ensembl.
UAAGGAACUGCCCUCACCUGGUUGUCUAGGCUACUAAUUAGUAAGGAACUGCCCUCACCUGGUUGUCUAGGCUACUAAUUAGUAAGGAACUCCCCUCACCUGGUUGUCUAGGCUACUAAUUAGUAAAGAACUGCCCUCACCUGGUUGUCAAGGCUACUAAUUAGUAAGGAACUGCCCUCACCUGGUUGUCUAACUCUUUGAGAGGAAACACCAGACCUGACAUUAGACAGUCAUUCAUAAGGGAGGGAGGGAGAAACAUUUUAAGACUGUUGGGACUAGCUUUUAGCUAGUGAGUCAUGACGUCAUGAUACCCUCAGUGUUAGAGACAGCAUCUAUUGAGAGAACCCUGCUGAAAACUAGUGAGUCAUGACACCCUCAGUGUUAGAGACAGCAUCUAUUGAGAGAACCCUGCUGAAGACUAGUGAGUCAUGACACCCUCAGUGUUAGAGACAGCAUCUAUUGAGAGAACCCUGCUGAAGACUAGUGAGUCAUGACACCCUCAGUGUUAGAGACAGCAUCUAUUGAGAGAACCCUGCUGAAGACUAGUGAGUCAUGACAUCAUGUUUCCCUCAGUGUUAGACAGCAUCUAUUGAGAGAACCCUGCUGAAGACUAGUGAGUCAUGACGUCAUGAUGCCCUCAGUGUUAGAGACAGCAUCUAUUGAGAGAACCCUGCUGAAGACUAGUGAGUCAUGACAUCAUGAUGCCCUCAGUGUUAGACAACAUCUAUUGAGAGAACCCUGCUGAAGACUAGUGAGUCAUGACGUCAUGAUGCCCUCAGUGUUAGAGACAGCAUCUAUUGAGAGAACCCUGCUGAAGACUAGUGAGUCAUGACAUCAUGAUGCCCUCAGUGUUAGAGACAGCAUCUAUUGAGAGAACCCUGCCGAAGACUAGUGAGUCAUGACAUCAUGAUGCCCUCAGUGUUAGACAGCAUCUAUUGAGAGAACCCUGCUGAAGACUAGUGAGUCAUGACGUCAUGAUGCCCUCAGUGUUAGAGACAGCAUCUAUUGAGAGAACCCUGCUGAAGACUAGUGAGUCAUGACAUCAUGAUGCCCUCAGUGUUAGAGACAGCAUCUAUUGAGAGAACCCUGCUGAAGACUAGUGAGUCAUGACAUCAUGAUGCCCUCAGUGUUAGAGACAGCAUCUAUUGAGAGAACCCUGCUGAAGACUAGUGAGUCAUGACGUCAUGAUGCCCUCAGUGUUAGAGACAGCAUCUAUUGAGAGAACCCUGCUGAAGACUAGUGAGUCAUGACAUCAUGAUGCCCUCAGUGUUAGAGACAGCAUCUAUUGAGAGAACCCUGCUGAAGACUAGUGAGUCAUGACAUCAUGAUGCCCUCAGUGUUCGAGACAGCAUCUAUUGAGAGAACCCUGCUGAAGACUUGAACUCAGGCUAAGAUGCUAUUUAUCAAACGAAAUGUCGUGUAUAUAGAAAUGCAUUCCUCAAUGGUGUUAUUAUUGUUAAAGCUUUAUUUAACUUGGCAAGUCAGUUAAGAACAAAUUCUUAUUUACAAAGACGGCCUACAGGGGCAGAACGACUGAUUUUAACCUUGUUCAGCUCGGGGAUUCGAUCCAUCAACUUGCCCAUCUCUCUAACCACUAGGCUACCUGCCUCCCAAGCAGUAUGGUUGAUUCACUAUCAGGUUUUCAUUCUGAGUGUUAAAUUUAUUGAAUUGAUCUGAUGAGUAUUGUAGAUGUGUGGAAACAGGAGAGGCAGGGCUGUGGUCAGAGGAUGUUGCUGACAGACAGAAGGUUGUAGAUGUGGGGAAACAGGAGAGGCAGGGCUGUGGUCAGAGGAUGUUGCUGACAGACAGAAGGUUGUAGAUGUGGGGAAACAGGAGAGGCAGGGCUGUGGUCAGAGGAUGUUGCUGACAGACAGAAGGUUGUAGAUGUGUGGAAACAGGAGAGGCAGGGCUGUGGUCAGAGGAUGUUGCUGACAGACAGAAGGUUGUAGAUGUGGGGAAACAGGAGAGGCAGGGCUGUGGUCAGAGGAUGUUUCUGACAGACAGAAGGUUUUUAGUUGAGAGGUAAAAGGUUCCCUACAUAUUCAAGGUGUUUCUGUUCUGUUUGAAUCUGGAUUCUUUGCAGAGGGGAAGUGACCCGAAGAUGUUGCUGUAUCGUCCGUUUGCACUGGGAGGAGGCAGAAAGGCAGCGUUUCUGCUGUCCAGUGAGAUUCGAGCAGAAAUCAUCUGAUACCCAAUGAUAUUAGAUCUAUAUUUGUGUGGAAUACUUCAGGAAGGACCCCUGGACUUUGUCCACAUUUUGUUGUGUUACAGCCUGAAUUUAAAAUGGAUUAAAUUCAUUGUGUUUGACACUGUCCAACACACAAUAUUCCAAAGCAUGCAUCUUGUUUGCAACAAGGCACUAAAGUAACACUGCAAAAAUGUGGCAAAGAAAUUAACUUUUUGUCCUGAAUACAAAGUGUUACGUUUGGGGCAAAUCCAAUACAACACAUUACUGAGUACCACUCUCCAUAUUUUCAAGCAUAGUGGUGGCUGCAUCAUGUUAUGGGUAUGCUUGUAAUUGUUAAGGACUGGGGAGUUUUUCAGGAUAAAAAAAUAAACAGACUGGAGCUAAACACAGGAAGAAUUCUAGAGGAAAACCUGGUUCAGUCUGCUUUCCACCAGACACUGGGAGAGGAGUUCACCUUUCAUCAGGACAAUAAACCUAAAACACAAGGCCAAAAUCUACACUGGAGUUGCUUACCAAGAAGACCGUGAAUGUUCCUGAGUGGCCGAGUUACUGCUGACCUAAAUCUACUUCACAAUCUAUGUCAAGACCUGAAAAUAGUUGAGUAGCAAUGAUCAACAACCAAUUUGACAGAGCUUGAAGAAUUUUGAAAAGAAUAAAUGGGCAAAUGUUGCACAAUCCAGGUGUGGAAAGCUCUUAAGAGAUUUACCCAGAAAGCCUAGCAGCUUUAAUCACUGCCAAAGGUGCUUAUACAAAGUAUUGACCAUUAAGGUUUUCACUUUGUCAUUAUGGGGUAUUGUGUGUAGAUGGGUGAGAAUUAUUCACGCUCUGGCAAAUUGGUUGUUGAUCAUUGCUAGACAGCCAUUUUUUUUAUUAUAGGUCUUUCCAUAGAUGUUCAAGUAGAUGUAAGUCUAAACUAAACUAUCUAGUCAGGAACAUCCACUGUCUUGGUCGCAACUCUAGUGUAGAUUUGAUCUUGUGUUUAAGGUGUGAAUACAUGAGAUAUUUCAGCUCAUUUCUUUUUCAACACGUUUGCUAAAAUUUCUAAACACAUUUUCACUUUGUCAUUAUGGAGUUUUGUGUGUAGAUGGGUGAGAUAAAAAAAUAUAUAAAUUGAAUCCAUUUUGAUUUCAGGGUCAAAGGUUAUGACUACUGUACUUUCUGAAGGCACUGUAUCGAUGAAGAACCUGAAAACAUUUCACUUUUAAGAAAACAAAAGUAAAGUAUAAAUAAAGUAUAUUAAGUAUAAAUAAAAAUGUUUUUUGGGGGGUUCACGGUUGUUGUUGUUGACCAUUUUCACUUUGUAAAGAUUUUUCUAAAUUCCUUCAUGUCAGAGAACAAAAUUAAAGAUGAGUUAAAUCUAUUUACUGUUUAGUGAGAAUCUGUCCAUCAUAUCGCUUGAAUACAGGAUGAAUGGAAGUUAAACUGGAGUAAAUGGUUUUUAACUUAAAACUAUAGUUCAGCUAGACAAUAUAAUGACAUGAACAUUUUGUGGUUAAAUAUACUGAACAAAAAUAUAUGCAAGCAAUUUCAAAGAUUUUACUGAGUUACAGUUUAUAAGGAAAUCAAUCAAUUGAAAUCAAUUCAUUAGGGCCCUAAUCUAUGGAUUUCACAUGACUGGGCAGGGGCUCAGCCAUGUGUGGGCUGGGAGGGCAUCGGCCCA